This 467-nucleotide ribosomal RNA is filed under the name uncultured bacterium. RNAcentral describes it as "partial 16S ribosomal RNA". It matches the Rfam family "Bacterial small subunit ribosomal RNA", at positions 28 to 507 of the family's 1533-position model. The record is from RNAcentral.
GAUGAACGCUGGCGGCGUGCUUAACACAUGCAAGUCGAACGGAAAGGCCCAAGCUUGCUUGGGUACUCGAGUGGCGAACGGGUGAGUAACACGUGGGUGAUCUGCCCUGCACUUCGGGAUAAGCCUGGGAAACUGGGUCUAAUACCGGAUAGGACCACAUUUUGGAUGGUGUGGUGGAAAGUUUUUCGGUGUGGGAUGAGCUCGCGGCCUAUCAGCUUGUUGGUGGGGUAAUGGCCUACCAAGGCGUCGACGGGUAGCCGGCCUGAGAGGGUGUACGGCCACAUUGGGGCUGAGAUACGGCCCAGACUCCUACGGGAGGCAGAAAUGGGGAAUAUUGCACAAUGGGCGCAAGACUGAUGCAGCGACGCCGCGUGGGGGAUGACGGCCUUCGGGUUGUAAACUCCUUUCGCUAGGGACGAAGCGUUUUUGUGACGGUACCUGGAGAAGAAGCACCGGCUAACUACGUG